Molecule: transfer RNA, 74 nt
Filed under: Marmota monax (woodchuck)
Lineage: Eukaryota; Metazoa; Chordata; Mammalia; Rodentia; Sciuridae
Description: tRNA.Ala
Rfam family: tRNA (bases 9-66)
About the family: Transfer RNA (tRNA) molecules are approximately 80 nucleotides in length. Their secondary structure includes four short double-helical elements and three loops (D, anti-codon, and T loops).
Source: RNAcentral
UGAGGAUAUAGCUCAGUUGGUAGAGUGCUUGCCUUGCAUGCAUAAGGCCCUGGGUUCAACCCCCAGCACCACAA